GACGAAGGGGGCUAGCGUUGUUCGGAAUUACUGGGCGUAAAGCGUGUGUAGGUGGUUGUCAUAGUCAGGUGUGAAAGCCUUGAGCUUAACUCAAGAAAUGCACUUGAUACUGGGCAGCCAGAGGACCGGAGAGGAUAGUGGAAUUCCCAGUGUAGUGGUGAAAUACGUAGAGAUUGGGAAGAACACCAGUGGCGAAGGCGGCUAUCUGGACGGUUUCUGACACUAAGACACGAAAGCGUGGGGAGCAAACAAG
RNAcentral lists this ribosomal RNA (253 nucleotides) under uncultured bacterium. RNAcentral's name for it is "partial 16S ribosomal RNA". It matches the Rfam family "Bacterial small subunit ribosomal RNA", at positions 524 to 776 of the family's 1533-position model. The record is from RNAcentral.